GUACUAGCUUCGGCAGCACAAUAUUAAAAUUGAAAUGGCACAGAGCAUGGCCCCUGCACAAGGAUGACAUGCAAAUUCAUGACGUGUUCCAGCACCUG
This 98-nucleotide small nuclear RNA is filed under the name Vicugna pacos (alpaca). The record is from RNAcentral. Lineage: Eukaryota; Metazoa; Chordata; Mammalia; Artiodactyla; Camelidae.